GACAUGUUAUUGUUGCCAUCAUAGACCUUAUGAAAACUGUUAUUGCGAUUUUCUAUAUGGGAUUGACUCCCUCGAUGGUGGCGCCCCGACCUAACAGAUCUUCCUUGUCUUCAGUCUAGAGCUCGGUCGGAUGGAGCAGUUGGGGAGGAGUGGCGGAUGCGCGGGGCAUCGCCGGCCAGAGAGGACGGGAGGAGCAUAUGCCAGCGAGGGAGGCGGCUCGGCUUGGACCGGCCAUGGCGCCGGCGCUGCUAACUCCCACGGGCCUCUCAUUCCCCAUCUCUUCUGGUUGCACCUCCCCCCGUUCCUUCCUCUAAUCCCCUUCUUGUCUAAUUUAAUUAUCGUUUUUAGUUUCCUGCUGUCUAUGGCUGCCGUAGAUUUUGUUCCUCCCCACUUCUAUAUCUUCAUAUAAAAUCUUAUGAAACAAUGCUCUGUUUCUUUUUUGGAAUAGGAAGUGAUGAAUCAAGCAAGGAGGAAGGGCGUAGUGUUGGAUAUUUGACCAGGUUAGGAUUGUCUCCUGUUAAGUAUAUGGUCGCGUGAUUUUAUUUUUACCUCGCCGGCACUGAGUUUGAUUUAAUUUUCAUCUCCGACGAGUCUACCGGUUGCGUUCUUAUUUUGUUGCAGGCGACAUAUAUGGAUGCCUCUGUUCUGAAUAAACAAUAUUUACUUGAACCUAUAUGGUCUGAAUAAAGUUUACACUGCCAAUAUUUUGCCUUGACCUGCCAAGGUAUGAACUAAAACAUCAAUAUCACUCGAACCUAAUCAUGUCAGGGUCUAAAUUAUUGCCUAUCUGCCAAUAUAAUAGCAUGCUAGAUGUUCUUAGAUUCAAUCCAAAAAAGCUUUGUUUGUGUUCCUGUCAAUUUUAGACGUGCAGGUAGCUUGAUAACUUGCUUUUCUUUUUGUUCAGUACAUAUAUACAGUUACACCAUAACCUCACCAAUUUGCUCUGAUUAAAUUAGCAAACCUGAAGCAUGUAAGGAUUCAUGUGAGUGAAAGUUCACUUUCUUUCAGGAGAAAAGAACUUUUAGUUAAUACCAGUCGAAUUUGGUAAGGCCAAUAAUUAUAUCCUUUCAUAAUCAUCAGGUUUGCUACACUUAGUCAUAAUAAAGUAUUCUAUUUUUUCUUUUGCACAGUGGCAUUGCAAUGGAUAUUGUUCUUUUACUAGCAGUGUGCUGAGUGUGCAUGCAAAGUACAGGUCAUUUUGAGUGGCAAGGGUUGAGAAUUACCAUAAUGUUAAUAUGUUGAAGAACCUUAUAAAAUAUAUAAUUAUAUAUUUGACACUUUUUAUACUGAUUCAAGUGAAAAAUGUCAUAAUUCUAACAGAUAUUUGCAUCUGCGCCAAGUGCGGCAUGCAGUCAUCCUCAUCCUGUCCUGAACGUACCAUGUACUCUGUAUUGAGAAAAGACUAGGGAGUUAAGAAUACCAUGUGGCACCGGAGCAGCCUAAGGGCCAUUAGUUGGGAAUAAGAUGCACUGGAUAUCUGAGUUUAAGUGGUAGCUUUGCACUUUGCAGUAUGGUGAUGUCACUCUUGGUGUGAUGGUCACUCAUCGAGCGUGUCAACUACUCAUAAAUAGCUCUAUCCAGCAAAUUUUCUUUAGAUUUUGCUCUAUUCUAUUGAUCAGAUUUGCCAAGUCAUUUUUCCUUCGAGGUAUUUAGCAUUGCCAAAUUUAUAUAUUUACCUAAAUUUAAUCGUGACCCGAUUUGCUCUGGUCAAUACAUGCAUGAUGCCUUUUCUUUUCUAUAAAGUAGAUGCAGGGUUAUUUUACCUUUUAGACUCUGAGUUAGAUUAGCCGCACCUGUGUAUAUGUUUGAUAGAUGAGCUGUGUCAGGUUGUAGGUACUGCUAAGCACAAAGCUAUAGUUGGAUAUAAUAUUGGAUUUACAAUUAUUUUAUGCAAAAGAUUUCUGGUUAGUUGUAAAAUUCAUAAUAUUCCAGUAUAUUUCAAAUUUUGUUUCAUAGAGAAGCUCCAUCAUUGGAACCAGUAUAUGUCUGCUGAUAAAACCCUUUUGUAUGAUCAUGGUUUUUAGGAAUUGAUAUUCCAAUCAAUCUGCUGAUGCGGUAUUUGUGGGAGAUGAAGAGCAGCGACGGGUUUAAUCUAGGGGCCGUCUUUCUCGAGCUACAUUCAUGCUUCACAGCAGUUCACCUUCCCACAAUUUCUCAGGUUGCACAUCUGCUGGCCGAUGUGAUUAUGGAUGCCUUGUAUCUUGCAGUUCUUUCUAACCGAGUAUUAUUGCAGAUUCCAAAAUAGGACUAACUUCUGCUUAUUUUCUAAUCUAUUCAUUGUACCUCAAGGUGAACCAAUCUAUCCCACGAGAGCAUAUUUUUCUUAAUUCUACAAUAGAGGAUGUCGUGGUUUUCGAUUUUUGCUUUAAUGUGGGCUGGUUAGGAACUACAGUAAAUGUUUUUCCUGAAAGCUAAUGUUGUUGCACAAUUUCCUUUUUACCGUUUCAUUUUUAUUGUGAGAAAAAUGAUGCUUUUCAUAAAUUGUGCUAAUGUGAACAUGAGUUGUGUGUGUUGAUCUAAAUGAAUUGGAAAAAUGGUCUGGUUGCGGAACAUUUGGUACACAAUUUUUUUAUUCAAGAUGGAACAAGUUUGUUAUAGAUAUUCCUGUAAAUGGUUUGUAUAGUUUGUUUUGUUAUUAAGCAAACAUAUGGUUCCAACACGCCUGAAAAUCAUGAAACUUGGCAUGGUAUCAUGACAUGGCUCCAACAUGUUGUGGUAAAUUUUCUGGCCGAAUUGGGACAAGCUUUGGUGUAAGCUUCUUUCAAACCGGAGCUUCCCUCAAGAAGGCUCGUGGUUCCGAGAGGGAAUGUG
This 2811-nucleotide long non-coding RNA is filed under the name Triticum aestivum (bread wheat). RNAcentral's name for it is "long non-coding RNA (TAES_LNC004622)". Lineage: Eukaryota; Viridiplantae; Streptophyta; Magnoliopsida; Poales; Poaceae. The record is from RNAcentral.